This 253-nucleotide ribosomal RNA is filed under the name uncultured bacterium. RNAcentral describes it as "partial 16S ribosomal RNA". It matches the Rfam family "Bacterial small subunit ribosomal RNA", at positions 524 to 776 of the family's 1533-position model. The record is from RNAcentral.
UACGUAGGUGGCAAGCGUUGUCCGGAUUUACUGGGCGUAAAGGGCGCGUAGGCGGCUUGGCAAGUGGAAGGUGAAAUCCCUCGGCUUAACCGAGGAACUGCCCUCCAAACUGCUUCGCUUGAGACCGGGAGAGGUGAGUGGAAUUCCCAGUGUAGCGGUGAAAUGCGUAGAUAUUGGGAGGAACACCAGUGGCGAAGGCGGCUCACUGGACCGGUACUGACGCUGAUGCGCGAAAGCCAGGGGAGCAAACGGG